UUCAUAUUCUUCCCUUGAAAAUACAAGAUUGAAAAAAAGUAGGUUUCAUAUAAUAUUCAUCUUCAUCAUUGAAAAAAGUGAAUUUAAGAUAAUAUUUGUAGAAACCUAAUUUUGUCCCUCCCCAAUAUCACUUUUAUUCAUUUUACCUUAUUCUACCGUGUAUCCUAAACCGCAUAAUUCCCCCCUCCCCAUAAAAUACAAAAAUAAUAAUAACAAACCUCUAACCAACUUUACACCUCAUCCUAAUAAUCAACCUAUUCCACCCCCCACAUUUUAUUCCUUUUCCAUAACAAAAUGGCGGCGCACAGGGAAUACAAUAUAGAUACAUGGAUAAUUUCCAAACCAAAAAAAAGACACCUGGACACAAAAGAAAAAAGAGAACCCACUAGAAAAUGCUUUUGCUCUCCAAAAAAAAAAUAAAACAUCAUUCACAUAUACACCAUCACUAGACAAAAAAAAGGGGGACCUUCACUCACGAUUCACACACAUACUCACAAUUCCAUAGAUCCUCACCAAAAAUAGAAUAAACACACGCCAUUGCUUUCCCUUUGUCUUCUUCAAGAUCACUCAACACACACAGAAAUAUAUACACCACAAAACAGAGAACAAUUGAUACUCAUUCUCACGCAACAGUCAUACAUGCACCCUCCUCCAUUUUUCAUCAUCACUCAACCAUACUCGCACAAUACACAAAUAGAGAGAGAGAGCUGACAGGAGGAUGACGUGAGAGGAGAGAUCAAGUUGGUUGGCCGGAGAGAUCGAAAGGUUCAUAAAAAAAUAGAGAAUUAAGGACUGAUAGAAGGAAAAUUUGGGACCAAAACAGGGAGAUCGAGAAAAGAGAGUUGAGAUCGAGAGAGAAGAGAGUAACACGGAGCUAAGGGAACAUAAUUUUUCAUGGUUUGGUUACUGUCCCAGCGACGGAUUCACCAGAAAACACGUCACAGCCGUAUUCCUUCUUCGUUUUCAGUAAUCGAAGCUCGCCGGAGCUACAACUAUAGAGAGCAGUUAAGCAAACCCCGAUUUUACUUUCGAUUCCAUCCAAGCUCGUUGAAAUCUAUUUCGAGUUGGGGUUUAUAUUUGAGGUUCAAAUCGAGGUAUUCCAGUGCCGCUUCGUCGAGCAAUUCCAUUGAAAUAAAACGUCAAAUUUGAGUGUAUUCAUUUGGCCGAGGAAUGCUCCAAGGUACUUGUGUUUAUUCACCGGGGAAUGUCCUGAAGUAUUUUGUAUCCGGAGGACGUUCGUGAUGAAGGCCCGAGGCAUUGGGUAAAGCACUGAAGCAUGUUAGAAUUAGUGUAGGAUAGAAUAGGAUUUAUUUUUUGCAUUUUUUUUAUUAGUUAUUUUGGACUGUAUAAUUGGAUUGAACAUUAUAUUUUGGAUUUGUUUGUUUCGUGUGUU
This is a long non-coding RNA of Capsicum annuum, 1393 nucleotides long. RefSeq lists it as uncharacterized. Lineage: Eukaryota; Viridiplantae; Streptophyta; Magnoliopsida; Solanales; Solanaceae. The record is from RefSeq and is a predicted model, not a curated record. The transcript has 2 exons.